Sinocyclocheilus grahami is the source of this 300-nucleotide long non-coding RNA. RefSeq lists it as uncharacterized. NCBI's taxonomy places the organism in Eukaryota, Metazoa, Chordata, Actinopteri, Cypriniformes, Cyprinidae. The record is from RefSeq and is a predicted model, not a curated record. The transcript has 3 exons.
CAGUCCGGUCGUUGCGCGUCUCCUGAGCAGACAUCAGACCGUCGCCUCGGUUCUCCGGUGUUUAUUCGUGAGAAGCGGCUCAUGAUGCGAGGUUUAUCCGUUCUUCAGCUGCUGCUCGUGACGCUGAGCGCGAGAGAAGCGCGAGAGAUCGGUGGCGGGAGUUUCCUGGAAGACGAGCAGCAGUGGCUCUCAGCGGUCCACCGCUACAGCCGCACCGUCAAACACUGGAACCGCUUCAGAGACGAAGUGGAGGAUGACUACAUCCGUACACUGGAAGGUCCACAGGCUUCGGAUGAAAGU